RNAcentral lists this ribosomal RNA (497 nucleotides) under uncultured bacterium. Its description in RNAcentral is "partial 16S ribosomal RNA". It matches the Rfam family "Bacterial small subunit ribosomal RNA", at positions 28 to 507 of the family's 1533-position model. The record is from RNAcentral.
GAUGAACGCUGGCGGCGUGCCUAAUACAUGCAAGUCGAACGAACAGACGAGGAGCUUGCUCCUCUGAAGUUAGCGACGGACGGGUGAGUAACAAGUGGAUAACCCACCUAUAAGACUGGAACAACGUAGAGAAAGCGGAGCUAAUAACGGAUAAUAUAUUGACCCGCAUGGUUCAAUAGUGAAAGAUGGUUUUUCUAUCACUUAUAGACGUAUCCGCGUGGUAUUAGCUAGUUGGUAAGGUAACGGGUUAACAAGGAAACGAUGCGUAGCCGAGCUGAGAGGGUGAUCGGCCACAUUGGAGCUGAGACGGGCACCAGACUCCUACGGGAGGCAGCAGUAGGGAAUCUUCCGCAAUGGGCGGAAGCUUUACGGAGCGACGCCGCGUGAGUGAUGAAGGUCUUCGGAUCGUAAAACUCUGUUUUUAGUGAAGAACAAAUUUGAGUGGAACUGUACACGUCUUGACGGUACCUAAUCAGAAAGCCACGGCUAACUACGUG